Molecule: long non-coding RNA, 2759 nt
Organism: Phragmites australis (common reed)
Lineage: Eukaryota; Viridiplantae; Streptophyta; Magnoliopsida; Poales; Poaceae
Exons: 4
Source: RefSeq, a predicted model, not a curated record
CGUAUCAUCCGCUGCCCGCCCCCUGCCCCGCCGUCCUCUUCGCCUCCCACCUGCCGUCCUCCACGUGUCUAACCAGAUCUGCUGCCGCUCACGUUGCACUCGGGUGUGUGGAGCGGCGUAGGGAGGGGCUGAUCCCGGAAGCUGGUGGUGGCUAGGAGGAGGGCGGCGCUGGGAGUAGUUUGGAGGCGGGGAGUAUGGCGGUGGCUCAGUGGGGCUCCUCCGCCAUCUCCUUUGCUCCUCCGCCAUCGGGACGACCCGGUGCACGACCACACGCAAGGUUUGGCAGGAGGAAAAGGAGAGCAAGGGAACCAAACGGAAAAGUAAGACUCGUCCAUGGGAGACCCUGAACUGGUAGCGAGGAGUACAAUUUGGGUGGGGAUGCACUCGAUACAGCUCGAUUCGGGGCUACCGAGGUUGAUUCGAGUUGCUAGGAGGUCCGUUCCAGAGGAGCCGAGGUCAAUUUGAGGAGAGAAGCUCGAUUGGGCGAGGUGGAGCUAGAUCCAAGCAGUGAGGAAUUCGCUGGGCAAUGAGGAACUAGAUUGGGCACUGUGGAGCUCCAUCCACGUGGUGAGGAGUUUGAUGCGUGGGCUAGCAAGCCAAUUUGGUUCAACACUAUCGGAUUUGCCCAUUUGAUAGGGCCUUUUCUUUUCUUAUGUGAUCAAAAUGGUGACCUCGGAUUUGAUGCUUUCUUAUCGGAUUGUCGUGCUCAACAUUCCAGAUUGGUCUGUUCAGACUCUGCCAUCGCCCGGCAGAACACUGAUUUGGGGAAAAGACAUGCUUUAAACUUAUUUCGGGGAUGGAAAAGCCGCAAGGAUUUGUGAAUGUGAACUUUCGUAAUGCCUCUUGGGGAGCAUAAUGUGUUGCUUACCUACUUCUUGCAGAAUCAGGUGGAACUUCAAGGGCUUUGGUGGAGGUGAUCAGCUCCCUGUAGAAAGAUAAAGUAUCUGGCUUCAUGAUUCAUGCUCAAUUGAGUGACCGAUUUUAAUGUGAUAGUAGCACAUUCUAAAUGAUAUCCAUCUCAUGUGCCAAUACUAUCACAGAAUACAGAGUGACCAUCACUGAAGGUGAUAUAUGGUGUUGUGCUCAUUUACUUGAACAUUUUAGCUUGAAAGUUCUUUUCUGCGCUUCAAGAACAAUGCCAUUGACGAAUAAAGUGAUUUAUUGGUGCACAGUAUACGGCAUAUCAUAGCUUUUGUGACACUCAAUGUGUGAGAUCUUUGAAAGCUACUUGCAUUUUUUUAGUUGUUUGGUAGGACAGAACUAUGCAGAUUUUGUUCUGAAUUUGUAGGAAUUUGGUGUGUUUUAUCUCGGUUGUUGGUCUUAUCUAUUGUUACUUAAAUGCUCAUUUUUAUUUGGUUUGUUGUCUAUUGAUGUUGAAGAGCACAUUCUGAAUUACCUAAAGGACGUGGUGGUAUGCAUAAAUUAUUUUCGUUGCUGGCCCCAUUUUUGUUUUUGGUUCAUUUGUGAUGCCAUACACAUCUGGUUAUUGAUUGUCUUGUAGUAGCAUAAUUGGCGCGGCUUUCCCAUGCAUUCUCAUAAUUGGUUGUUAAGCAAUGAUGUUAAGUAAUCUACUGCACUUCCUAUCCAACAAUGAUAUGAUGGGAACUGACUGGCUCACAGCAAGUGCUUUGAUGGCAUGAUUGUUAGAACAAUAGUGUUCUUCAGUAAUUAACCUUAUUUAUGUUGCUAUUUGGUUUAUUCUUUCCAACAUGUAACUAACAAUCUCUCCAAACAACUCCAAAGGUUAUUCAUCCAUAACUGUAUUUGGAAUUUCUACAUUGAGGUUUCUAGCUUGACCAAAAAUAGAUUUCAUUCGUGGUGUAAUUUGGCAUGUGCCCAUGAACUUAACCGUGUAUGGUUUGUUAUGUUGAAUUGCUUGUGCAUCCAGCCUCUUUAUUUUUUUUGAUUGUGCAUUCUUUGGCAAUAUACAAGCAGAAAGAUAGCUUUUUUAUAUCUAAAUGUUCUGAUCAUAUAACAUUUGUUUUUUUUACACAUUGGAGGCAUUUUGAGUGGAUGGAGCUGGAGCUGUGAGAAAGUACUGCUAGCAGGAAUAAUUGGAAGGAAAAUUAUAUCACCUAAACUUUCUUUGAGAGCUUGACUUAAUUCUGGUCUUGUGACCAGUUGCUAGCAUGAAAGUUGUAGCCAACUACCUCCAUGAUUAGUGGAUUAAUAUAAAGUGUGGUACAAGGAGAAACUGAAAGUGAGAAGAAAGGAAGUCCUUGGCUGAUAAAAUGUGUAGUUUUAGUUAAUUUUUUGUCUUUAUGGUGUAGCAUUUAUUGUUAGGACAAAAACGUGUAACCAAUAUUUUUUAGUAUAUGAACAUUGCUAAUUUUUUACCCUGUUCUUGGAUUGGGUUAUUUGCUUACAUUUUCUGCAUCUGCUGGCAGACCUGAAGUGGACAUCUCUCAGUAUAUGAUUUAUGCCUGUUUGGAGUUGUGUUAUUCGCUCAAGAUCGCAAGUCAUGUCAUUUUGCAUUAGCUAAAAACAAUCAAUUAUAUUGUGAAAAUUUUCAGUUCCGGUUGUAACGCACGAACAACUAACUAGUAAUGUACAAAAUAUGGUGUUUUGAAAAAAGAAAAUAUUGGCAAAUCUUGUGAUACAAUAUUCAUAUGGUAAUCAUGGCUAAUUUUUGCCAUAUUAAUGGUUAAGUUAUACGAGUUUUGACAGCUUAAAUUCUAAAAUUGUCAUUUCAAAGCAUUGUGGGAGCAAUAAAGUAUGUUGCUACCUUCAGUUUCACGGAGGAUGAUACAUAUUUUCAC